Mesocricetus auratus (golden hamster) is the source of this 4296-nucleotide long non-coding RNA. RefSeq lists it as uncharacterized. Lineage: Eukaryota; Metazoa; Chordata; Mammalia; Rodentia; Cricetidae. The record is from RefSeq and is a predicted model, not a curated record. The transcript has 2 exons.
GGCGGGUCCCUUGAACCUAGAGUUACAGAUGGGCAUGAGCCAGUGCUGGGAGUUGAACCCAGGCCCUCUGAAAGAGUACAGGCGGCGCUCUUAACUGUGGAGCCGUCUCUCCAGCCUGACUGAAUCCUUGAUCCACAUCAGCCUAAGUGCCGGGGUCACAGUGCACCAGGCCCAGAAGCCCAGGCUCUCCUCCCUGGCCCCCCGGGACACGCCACCCGGCUCCCUGUAGCCCAGGCUGCCCUCACCUCGGUCAUGAUCAUGUCCUGGCACUUCUUCACGUACUUGCCCUCGGCCUUGAUGACGGUGUGCAGGAAGUCCAGGUACUGCACGUGGCGCCCGUGCGUGGCCAGCAGGUGCACGAAAUGCUGCAGCACGGGCUCGCUGAUCUCGGAGCACAGCUGGUAGUUGUUGAGGAAAAUGUGCUGCAUGGUCUCGGCCUCCAGGAGCUGUGGUGGGCACGGGGUCCAUGAGGGAGGAAGGCCCACCAGAGAAGGGCGGGGCCCAUCAGAGAAGGGCAGGGGCCACCAGAGAAGGGCGGGGCCACCAGAGAAGGGCGGGGCCACCAGAGAAGGGCGGGGCCCAUGGGGACCUCACCCCAGGUGUGAGAAAGAGCUGAAGGUGUUUGUGCAGCAGGGCCUGGUUGCCAGGGUUCCCGGCGCAGAACUUCUGCAGGAACUGGUGUGUGUAGCGCAGGAUCUCCAGCAUCUUGUUGUCACCCUGCAGAAAGAGGCUGCUGGGCCACCAGGGGGACAGGCCCGGGGUGGCUGAAACGGUCCCUAGGGUGGGACAGGCCCGGGGUGGCUGAAACGGUCAGGAUCCAAUAAGCCGCUAGGCUGGGGUUAAAACGUGCAGGGAAUGGGGGGCGGGGAGGGCUUCCAGGAAGUUCAAUUGGGAAAUGGCCUCCGUCAGACUGCUCUGUGAACAAGUCUUUGGGGCAUUUUCUUGGUUAGUGAUUGUUAAGGGAGGGCCCAGCCGGCUAUGGGGCGUGCCAUCCCCGAGCAGGUGGUCCUGGGCUGUGAAAACAGCUUAGUGAGCCAAGCUGGGAGAGCCAGGGGAGACAGCAGGCAGUCCUUUCACGGCCUCGGCUUCAGUUCCCGCCCCUUCCCUGCCCACUUUACGAUGGGAGAGCGAACCUAUACGCUCCCUGUGUGCUGAGAUUACUUAUAUGACGCCCUCCCUCUCCAAGAUGCUCUGGAUCAUGGUCUCUCUUACAGCAGUAGAAAUCUAACUAGGACACUGCUCUAGCCUCGGAUGAGCUGGGUUUGAUCCCUAGAACCCAUGCAAAGGUAGAAAGAGAUGAGCCUUGUCUCCUGCACACACCCUGGUACAGCACACACAUUAAGUGAAAGUCGGGUGCAGCCUGAUGCCUGCAGGGUCAUCUCAGGGGCCUGGAGCGAGGACCCUCCACUCCCAGCACCCAGAGGGCUCGUAAUCACCUAUGAAUUCCAUCUCCAGGGGAUCUGACACUCUUCUGGACUCUGAGCAUGUGCACAUAUGCACAAAUAUUCAAAAAGAAAAGAUCAGCCCGUGUGAGGGGCUGAGGGUCAAAGGUCGACAGAGGCUACAUGAGGGGAAGGACAAGGCACCAUGACAUUGGGAUAAGGAGCUCGGGGUCAAAGGGCCGGAAUCGGAACUCUUCCCUAGUGCUCCAACCCUGUAAUACAGUCGUGGUGACCCCAACCAUAAAAUUUUCAUUGCCACCUGGUUGUAAGUUUGCUGUUAUGAACCAUAAUGUAAAUAUCUGUUUUACAAUGAUAUUAGGUGACCCCUGUGAAAAAGUCAUUCAAACUACACACACACACACACACACACCUGCCCGCUGGCCAGCCCACCCGCGGGUUUAGAACCAUUGGCCCAGAUGGAGCUGACAGGCAGCAUAGCCCAGAGGAGGGGAAGGAGGCUGGGGUCAUCGUUAAGCCUGGGGGUCAAACUCAAGGGCUGUGUAGCUCAGUGGAAGAAUGUUUGCCCUUACUUGAGUCAGGUUCUGGGUUCAAUGCCCCGCACCGUGGGAUGGGGGGAUCACAGCAGAUCAAAGUGAGGACAAAUCAGGGUGUGGGGAGUGCUGAGGGCUGUCACCUUGUCGUAAGGGAUCUGCAGCAGGUCCAGCAUGACCUUGUGGGCGUCCAUGUUCUUCAGUAGCCUCUGCUGCUUCUUCCUCAUCUGUUCCCCGACCCCGCACAUCUUGUUCAGCCUCUCCAGGAUCUGCAGGGGGACGGGACGUGGGAGCCGUGUGCCUCCUGCUCCUCAGAACCCCCUCUCUGCCUGCUCAGCUGCAGCCACGCCCAUUCCCCCGGGGGACAGGAGAGGGGAAGGACUCCGGGCUGUGCUGCUGACCCAGGCCACCCUGGCAAACCAGCAGAGCGCUGAGAUGCCAUCCCACCCGUAAGCGCACAGCGGCACGGCUCUAAAGUGGGGUCUCAUUAAAUUCCCAAGGCUUUAAGGUAACUAUUGGGGCCUCGGUGGGGCUAUUCAGAACAGGCCAGAAAGCUGGGGAUGUCUGGCUGCAGGGCCCAGAGGGAACUGAGAGACGCCAGGGCAACGGGAGCCCCAUCUGAGUCAAGUCGAAGCCAGCUGGGGGAUACCCCACCCAUACCCCACCCACCCACGCCCCUGCCACUCACGCCCUUGACAAUCUGGUAGUUCUCACUGCUCUUCUCCCCGUGUGGCUGGAGAAACCCCUCCUCAUCCGUGGGUCGCUAAGGACGCAGAAGAUGGAGUCAGCCCGGCCCCCUCACUUGGGGGCACCCUGCUUGGCUCCCGGAAGCCUGCUCACCUCCUUCUUGUCCUUGGCGGCGCCCGCCUCCCCCUCCUCGCCCUUGACACUGCCCUUCUUGUCCACCCACAGCUCGGACUUCUCCACCAUCGUCCGCAGCCGGUCCAGCUCUGACUUGAUCACCUUGUAGUUCUCAACAUCCUGGGCUGAGAUCAGCAGCUGGACCUGCACAGGGAGGGUGUGACCAUGCGGCGUAUGUCCCCGGAUUGCUGUCAUGCCUGGAACUACAGCGCCCACCUAGACCAGACCCCCCCCGCCCCCCGCACACAAGCGUCACUUCUGCCUCCAUCUUUACAGCCCCCUCCUCCAGGAAGCCUGCACUCCUGCCCAGUUACUCAGACUCCUGUCACACACCACACACCACACACUGGUCCACUCAGAUGCCAAACAGGCAGGGGAGAGCACUGGAGGUCACUGAACCCUGGGCGAAGGAGGGACCUGGGACUUUAAGGACGCGGGCCUGCAUGGGGUCCCUCCUCCCCCCUCACUGGGCCUAUGUCCUCUUCUCACGGGGGCUGAGAGCGGUGUCACAUACUGAGGGAGCUGGGGGAAUUCUGGGGAACCAGUGCAAACCAGUACAUGAGGAGCACUCGCUAAAUGCCAGCCCUGAUCGGCAGGCAUCUCACAAGAGGCUGUCAAGGGGGCAUGACGCCACAGCGACAGACACCAGGCAGCUUGGUGAGGGAUGUCUGCAAGCCAGACUUGGGAGGGGAUGAUCAGCAAAGGUGUGCCCAGCUGCCCACUCUCAAGUGGUGUCCUCAACAUAGUGAGUUAGGCCAGGAGGUGGCACAGGUGGCGGAGACUGGAUCCUCCCCUGAAGGAUCUCAACAAGGCUGAAAGCCCUUACGUGAGGCCCGGCACCCCUGCCAAGCUGUGAGGGGCUGGGUCACUGUGUGCCAGGGUCCACGGCCCAGGAGCCGGCAGGCGGCCCCCUCUCACCUGCUUGAAGGUGUGCAUGGCCUCCUGGCGCUGGCUGAAAUGCUUGAAGAGCAGUUGCAGGGCGCCGGAGACAAGCGGUGCGUAGUCAUGCAUGGUCAGGUGCAGCAGCACCCGCAGAAACAUGCGGCCACCCUCGUCGUCCACCUCCAGCAUGCUGCUGGUCUUCCUGCCGGCACGGGGGGGGGGGGGCAGGGAAUUGCAGCGGAGCAGCGCCACUCCAGUAUCUGCCCUUUCCCACCCGUGUGCAGAGAACCACUGCCCCCACCGGGGCAUCCGCUAUCUCCUGCUCGAGGAUAGCCCUCCGCCAAGCCCCUGAUGCAGGAACCCUUCGUGAGGGAUCCUCCCCCACCCCCCACCCCCACCGAGGGCAUGAGGAGACAUCUCUUCCUUCAGGGAGAGAAUGCAGCUGAGCCUGGGGGUUGCCGCCAGUAAGAAUCACAGACACUUUCCCGUCACCUCGGAGCUGUUACUGUACGUUGUGAAAUACCAUUUAUGUGCGCCACUAGCUGGAGUCACCGCUAAUUACCCCCACCGGCGCAGCUGCUACCUAACGCGCUAAUAAAGAGUCACACGCGUAGCGGCCA